This 76-nucleotide transfer RNA is filed under the name Acidimicrobiales bacterium mtb01. RNAcentral's name for it is "tRNA-Leu". It matches the Rfam family "tRNA". From Rfam's summary of the family: Transfer RNA (tRNA) molecules are approximately 80 nucleotides in length. Their secondary structure includes four short double-helical elements and three loops (D, anti-codon, and T loops). Lineage: Bacteria; Bacillati; Actinomycetota; Acidimicrobiia; Acidimicrobiales. The record is from RNAcentral. RNAcentral also lists the same sequence under 3 other names.
GCCCCGGUAGCCCAACGGCAGAGGCAGCGGCUUCAAACUCCGUACGGUGUGGGUUCGAAUCCCACCCGGGGCACCA